Molecule: non-coding RNA, 30 nt
Filed under: Mus musculus (house mouse)
Lineage: Eukaryota; Metazoa; Chordata; Mammalia; Rodentia; Muridae
Source: RNAcentral
UGGAACGCUUUACGGUUUCCAGAACUGCGC